This 430-nucleotide ribosomal RNA is filed under the name Bacillota bacterium. RNAcentral describes it as "Firmicutes bacterium partial 16S ribosomal RNA". It matches the Rfam family "Bacterial small subunit ribosomal RNA", at positions 355 to 776 of the family's 1533-position model. The record is from RNAcentral. Lineage: Bacteria; Bacillati; Bacillota.
UGGGGAAUAUUGGACAAUGGGCGCAAGCCUGAUCCAGCCAUGCCGCGUGUGUGAAGAAGGCCUUUUGGUUGUAAAGCACUUUAAGCGAGGAGGAGGCUACUUGGAUUAAUACUCUAAGAUAGUGGACGUUACUCGCAGAAUAAGCACCGGCUACCUCUGUGCCAGCAGCCGCGGUAAUACAGAGGGUGCGAGCGUUAAUCGGAUUUACUGGGCGUAAAGCGUGCGUAGGCGGCUUCUUAAGUCGGAUGUGAAAUCCCUGAGCUUAACUUAGGAAUUGCAUUCGAUACUGGGAAGCUAGAGUAUGGGAGAGGAUGGUAGAAUUCCAGGUGUAGCGGUGAAAUGCGUAGAGAUCUGGAGGAAUACCGAUGGCGAAGGCAGCCAUCUGGCCUAAUACUGACGCUGAGGUACGAAAGCAUGGGGAGCAAACAGG